GCACAAGCGGUGGAUGAUGUGGUUUAAUCGAUGCAACGCGAAAACCUUACCACCUUUGACAUGUACGGAAUCCUUUAGAGAUAGAGGAGUGCUCGAAAGAGAGCCGUAACACAGGUGCUGCAUGGCUGUCGUCAGCUCGUGUCGUGAGAUGUUGGGUUAAGUCCCGCAACGAGCGCAACCCUUGUCAUUAGUUGCUACAUUCAGUUGGGCACUCUAAUGAGACUGCCGGUGACAAACCGGAGGAAGGUGGGGAUGACGUCAAGUCCUCAUGGCCCUUAUAGGUGGGGCUACACACGUCAUACAAUGGAUGGUACAAAGGGUCGCCAACCCGCGAGGGGGAGCCAAUCCCAUAAAGCCAUUCGUAGUCCGGAUCGCAGUCUGCAACUCGACUGCGUGAAGUCGGAAUCGCUAGUAAUCGUGGAUCAGAAUGUCACGGUGAAUACGUUCCCGGGUCUU
This 456-nucleotide ribosomal RNA is filed under the name uncultured Acidovorax sp. RNAcentral describes it as "bacterial SSU rRNA". It matches the Rfam family "Bacterial small subunit ribosomal RNA", at positions 923 to 1382 of the family's 1533-position model. The record is from RNAcentral. Lineage: Bacteria; Pseudomonadati; Pseudomonadota; Betaproteobacteria; Burkholderiales; Comamonadaceae.